RNAcentral lists this ribosomal RNA (468 nucleotides) under uncultured bacterium. RNAcentral describes it as "partial 16S ribosomal RNA". It matches the Rfam family "Bacterial small subunit ribosomal RNA", at positions 28 to 507 of the family's 1533-position model. The record is from RNAcentral.
GACGAACGCUGGCGGCGUGCUUAACACAUGCAAGUCGAACGGUGAAGCUCCAGCUUGCUGGAGUGGAUCAGUGGCGAACGGGUGAGUAACACGUGAGCAACCUGCCCCUGACUCUGGAAUAAGCGCUGGAAACGACGUCUAAUACUGGAUACGAGAAGGGUCCGCAUGGGCACUUUCUGGAAAGUUUUUCGGUUGGGGAUGGGCUCGCGGCCUAUCAGCUUGUUGGUGAGGUAAUGGCUCACCAAGGCGACGACGGGUAGCCGGCCUGAGAGGGCGACCGGCCACACUGGGACUGAGACACGGCCCAGACUCCUACGGGAGGCAGCAGUGGGGAAUAUUGCACAAUGGGCGAAAGCCUGAUGCAGCGACGCCGCGUGAGGGAUGACGGCCUUCGGGUUGUAAACCUCUUUCAGCAGGGAAGAAGCGAAAGUGACGGUACCUGCAGAAGAAGCACCGGCUAACUACGUG